Molecule: ribosomal RNA, 513 nt
Filed under: uncultured Diversispora
Lineage: Eukaryota; Fungi; Glomeromycota; Glomeromycetes; Diversisporales; Diversisporaceae
Description: SSU rRNA
Rfam family: Eukaryotic small subunit ribosomal RNA
Source: RNAcentral
AGCAGCCGCGGUAAUUCCAGCUCCAAUAGCGUAUAUUAAAGUUGUUGCAGUUAAAAAGCUCGUAGUUGAACUUCGGGGUCUACCCAUUGGUCAGGCUUAAUUGUCUGCACUGGUAGGAUGGAUCUCUACCUUCUGAGGAACUUUCAUGCCAUUUAUUUGGUGUGAUGGGAAAUCAGGACUGUUACUUUGAAAAAUUAGAGUGUUUAAAGCAGACUAUCGUCUGAAUACAUUAGCAUGGAAUAAUGAAAUAGGACGGACUGAUUCUAUUUCGUUGGUUUCUAGGAUCACCGUAAUGAUUAAUAGGGAUAGUUGGGGGCAUUAGUAUUCAAUUGUCAGAGGUGAAAUUCUUGGAUUUAUUGAAGACUAACUACUGCGAAAGCAUUUGCCAAGGAUGUUUUCAUUAAUCAAGAACGAAAGUUAGGGGAUCGAAGACGAUCAGAUACCGUCGUAGUCUUAACCAUAAACUAUGCCGACUAGGGAUCGGACGAAGUUAAUUUUAUAGUGAGCGUUCGG